Molecule: ribosomal RNA, 253 nt
Filed under: uncultured bacterium
Lineage: Bacteria
Description: partial 16S ribosomal RNA
Rfam family: Bacterial small subunit ribosomal RNA
Source: RNAcentral
UACGUAGGGUGCGAGCGUUGUCCGGAAUUAUUGGGCGUAAAGGGCUCGUAGGCGGUUUGUCGCGUCGGGAGUGAAAACCUCGGGCUUAACUCGGGGCUUGCUUUCGAUACGGGCAGACUGGAGGUAUGCAGGGGAGAACGGAAUUCCUGGUGUAGCGGUGAAAUGCGCAGAUAUCGAGAGGAACACCUGCGGCGAAGGCGGGUUGCUGGGCUGACACUGACGCUGAAGCGCGAAAGCGUGGGGAGCAAACAGG